AAAGUAUGUGGCUUCAUACACAUCUUAUUGAGGAUAUGAUCACUGUUUGCUGUGAGAUAUUCAAGGGUUCUGUCCACUAUGCCUGGGCAAGUGUUCCAUCAUAUCCAAGUGGUGUGAUUGGAUUUCUCCUAUGCUCUACAGAGGGGCCACCUGUUGAUUUCUUGAAUCCUGUCAAUCCUAUAGAGAAGUUAAAAGGAGCCGUCAAAUAUAAGAGGGAACUUAGGUUCUAUAACUCAGAGAUCCACUCAGCUGCAUUUGCAUUGCCAACAUUUUUGAAGAGGGAGGUGAGAUUGCUUUGCGAUUCUCCAAUGCUAGCAAAAGGAAUCAACAUUUCAUAAUCUGGUGGCUCUGCUUGUAAGAAUUUUAUGAUGAGUGGAAAUUUUUGUUAAUGGGGCCUAGAUUCUAGGCUGGUAUUAAACAUAUAGUUGCACGGGCAACGAUCUUAUUGGUUGUCAUAUAUUAUGGUUUCUAGGUACAUCUAACUAGUUGAUGGGUUAUUACCACACAAUGUUUUGGUGGAUGAUAGGAACAACCUCAUCUAGGGGAGUGAUGAAAAAU
This 558-nucleotide unclassified non-coding RNA is filed under the name Hevea brasiliensis (rubber tree). The record is from RNAcentral. Lineage: Eukaryota; Viridiplantae; Streptophyta; Magnoliopsida; Malpighiales; Euphorbiaceae.